Molecule: long non-coding RNA, 1540 nt
Filed under: Sus scrofa (pig)
Lineage: Eukaryota; Metazoa; Chordata; Mammalia; Artiodactyla; Suidae
Description: lncRNA (ENSSSCG00005008376.1)
Source: RNAcentral
GUGUUUUCAAAGACUAAGCUUAUGUUUGCAUUGAUCUCUAUUAUAUUUUCAUUUCUACCUCACCUAUUUCUGCUCAUCUCUGCUACGUGGCUCCUUGUGCUUGCUUUGACUUCUUACUUUCCAUACCUCUGCCAUGAAAUUUUAAAUCACAGACUUUCAGAGCUGGAAGGAAACAGACCCGCUCUCCCGCCUCGUUUUACAAAGAAGCCCAGAGGGGAAGGGCAUGUGCCUGAAAUCCUGCAGCUGGUAAUAAGAGACCAUCCACAUUCUCGAUUCCGGCUUCUCCCCUUGCUCACCACUCUCCUCCACCCGUCACUCUCUCUCCUGCCCUGUUCCUCCUUCCCCUGACCCACAAGACAGCAAGAUUGUCGGACUGACACAAUUCAGAAGAAAGAGGCAAACAUCUCCCUCAAAAGAUGCAUAAGAACUUAGGAGGAGGGGGUCAAGAAUCCGACUGCAGCUGCUCAGGUGGCUGCAGAAGCCCAGGUUCAAUGCUGGCCCCGCGCAGUGGGUUAAGGAUCUGGUGUUGCUGCAGCUGGGGCUUGGAUACAAUCACUGGUCCAGGAACUUCUAUAUGCCGUGGGAGCAGAGGGAGAUGCCAAAGGUAAUCAAACACAGGACAAUUUUAUAAAACAAAACUCAGGCUGCCUUCUAGAAGGUUAUGGUUGGAUCUAUUAAAAAUUCUGAUAUUCAUAGCAGAUAUUUGGCAAGAAGCAAAAAUAGAUGGUAUCUUAAUGAACGGGGUAUCGGUGUCAGAAUGCAAAGGUCGCCUUACAUUUUAGGUUAAACAGAUGAGCACGACCAGCCGUAAAAUGUACUGAAUUGUGUGUAAAAAGCACUGGCCCUGAGAGGGUGAAAGAGGAGCUGAGGUCUGACUUCUGGGCUCCCGUCCUGCCCUGUCUGGCCACCCCUGGGAUGUCAGGACUCUAGUGGCCUUGAGAUCCAGGGCUCUUCCUUUUCUAAAGACCGUGGCUAAGGAAGACUCUGAUGUUGGUCACAUCUAGUAAGCACACAUUGCUCAGGCGCCCUCUCCAGGGCAUUUCUACUCAAAGUUUUCCUUCAGGGCGAGCUCAAAGGCUUUCUUUCGUGUCUCAAGAAAUUUGAAGCAGAGUUGAUAAGGUCGGUAGGUAUGGGCAGGGGCUCCCCGGGUGCCCGGAAAUCAUUCCAUCCGCUCUAAGACCUGAACAUUUCGGCACAAACUUACCAUGUCCUUCAAAAAUAAGUCUAGUCCCUAAGAGUGUGUGCACAUGCGCGCGCGCGCACACACACACACACACACACACACACUGGUCCAGUGUCUGAGAUACUGAUGCAGUGUGAUGCCCUGAGAGAGGUCGAGAGAACAGCAUUUCCAAGAUGUAUCCAACCACAAGACAUUUUCUUCAAGUAGCAUCCACAGGUCUGGGUUAAAUAACGCCACCCCCCGAAGAAAAGAAAGACGCCUUUACCUGGAACCUCAGAAUGUGACUUAGCUUGGAAUGAAGGAAAUUAAGAAUCUUGAGAUGAGACGAUCCCGGAUCGCUUAGGGUGGCCCUAAAUC